UAUAAAAGAUGCAUUCCUUCGAAUGGAACUCUUUUUUUCCCUUUAUUGGAAAAUUUCAAUUGCCUUUACCAUAUGUCCAAUCUUAGCUAUUAAGAAGAAUUAGUGCAUUCAUAUAUUUUAAUUAUGCAAAAAGUUGAAACAUCAUUAAGGUUGGAUGCAAAUUAAUUGUGAAAGUUUCAAUUUUUCACUUAAAAUAAAAUUAAAAAGACCCAGUAUUUUCUUA
This is a non-coding RNA of Jatropha curcas, 223 nucleotides long. The record is from RefSeq and is a predicted model, not a curated record. Lineage: Eukaryota; Viridiplantae; Streptophyta; Magnoliopsida; Malpighiales; Euphorbiaceae.